Molecule: ribosomal RNA, 495 nt
Filed under: Vibrio sp.
Lineage: Bacteria; Pseudomonadati; Pseudomonadota; Gammaproteobacteria; Vibrionales; Vibrionaceae
Description: bacterial SSU rRNA
Rfam family: Bacterial small subunit ribosomal RNA
Source: RNAcentral
CAGCCCAUGCCGCGUGUGUGAAGAAGGCCUUCGGGUUGUAAAGCACUUUCAGUCGUGAGGAAGGUGGUAGUGUUAAUAGCACUAUCAUUUGACGUUAGCGACAGAAGAAGCACCGGCUAACUCCGUGCCAGCAGCCGCGGUAAUACGGAGGGUGCGAGCGUUAAUCGGAAUUACUGGGCGUAAAGCGCAUGCAGGUGGUUUGUUAAGUCAGAUGUGAAAGCCCGGGGCUCAACCUCGGAAUAGCAUUUGAAACUGGCAGACUAGAGUACUGUAGAGGGGGGUAGAAUUUCAGGUGUAGCGGUGAAAUGCGUAGAGAUCUGAAGGAAUACCGGUGGCGAAGGCGGCCCCCUGGACAGAUACUGACACUCAGAUGCGAAAGCGUGGGGAGCAAACAGGAUUAGAUACCCUGGUAGUCCACGCCGUAAACGAUGUCUACUUGGAGGUUGUGGCCUUGAGCCGUGGCUUUCGGAGCUAACGCGUAAGUAGACCGCCUGG